GCUAGUUGUAUUAACUAUUAGUUAAUACAAGAUCGACUAUGUCGACUAAAGUUCUAGGUAGAAUAAUGAUGAUGACAAUUUUCUACCUAUAUGUCUUGACCAAAUCUCGUGCCAGCAGUCGCGGUAAUACGUGAAAGACUAGUGUUAUUCAUCUUUAAUAGGUUUAAAGGGUACCUAGACGGUUUAUCUAGCCCAAAACAGGGUACGGAUUUUCUAGAGUUUUAUGUGAGGAGGGGAGUACUCAUAGAGUAAAGAUGAAAUUUUGUGAUACUAUGGGGAAACUGGUGGCGGCGAAAGCAACCUUCUAUGUAUAAACUGACGUUGAGGGACGAAGGCUUGGGUAGCAAAUAGGAUUAGAUACCCUAGUAGUCCAAGCAGACAAUUCUGAAUGCCAUAGAUUAGAUUUUUUUUGGUCUAUAAAUGAAAGUGUAAGCAUUCCACCUUAGGAGUAAUGUGGCAACACAGGAACUGAAAUCAUUAGACCGUUUCUGAAACCAGUAGUGAAGUAUGUUAUUUAAUUUGUUAGUCCUCAAAAAACCUUACCACAACUUGAAUAUUAUUUAAUUAAUACAAGCGUUGCACGGCUGUCUUCAGUUAAUGUCGUGAGAUUUUGGUUAACUCCCUCAAUUAACGUAAACCCUUACUUUA
RNAcentral lists this ribosomal RNA (648 nucleotides) under Sarcogyne regularis. RNAcentral describes it as "SSU rRNA". It matches the Rfam family "Bacterial small subunit ribosomal RNA", at positions 399 to 1113 of the family's 1533-position model. The record is from RNAcentral. Lineage: Eukaryota; Fungi; Ascomycota; Lecanoromycetes; Acarosporales; Acarosporaceae.